RNAcentral lists this ribosomal RNA (406 nucleotides) under uncultured bacterium. RNAcentral describes it as "partial 16S ribosomal RNA". It matches the Rfam family "Bacterial small subunit ribosomal RNA", at positions 29 to 526 of the family's 1533-position model. The record is from RNAcentral.
AUUGAACGCUGGCGGCGGGCUUUACACAUGCAAGUCGGGCGAGUGGCGGACGGGUGAGUAACGCAUCGGAAUGUGCCGGAUAAAGGGGGAUAACUGUUCGAAAGGACAGCUAAUACCGCAUACUAUCCGAGGGGCCGAUGUCGGAUUAGCUGGUAGGUGGGGUAAAGGCCCACCAAGGCGACGAUCAGUAGCGGGUCUGAGAGGAUGAUCAGCCACACUGGGACUGAGACACGGCCCAGACGCCGAGGGGAGGCAGCAGUGGGGAAUAUUGGACAAUGGGCGCAAGCCUGAUGCAGCCAUGCCGCGUGUCUGAAGAAGGCCUUCGGGUUGUAAAGUACUUUUGUCAGGGAAGCGUUACCCGAAGAAGAAGCACCGGCUAACUACGUGCCAGCCGCCGCGGUAAUUC